CCUGCCCCAGAGCUAUUGCAGGUGUGGCUGCCUUGUCACGUGUGCAUCAGGAGGUGGCAGAGAGGAGAGAGGCUCUGCUAUACUUAGGGCUCUGACCUAUGAAUGUCUGAAUAAUUAGGAGCCUAACCUU
Small nucleolar RNA from Mastomys coucha (southern multimammate mouse), 130 nucleotides. RefSeq annotates it as small nucleolar RNA SNORA17. The transcript has a single exon. The record is from RefSeq and is a predicted model, not a curated record. Lineage: Eukaryota; Metazoa; Chordata; Mammalia; Rodentia; Muridae.